This 461-nucleotide ribosomal RNA is filed under the name uncultured bacterium. RNAcentral's name for it is "partial 16S ribosomal RNA". It matches the Rfam family "Bacterial small subunit ribosomal RNA", at positions 29 to 507 of the family's 1533-position model. The record is from RNAcentral.
ACGAACGCUGGCGGCGCGCUUAACACAUGCAAGUCGAGCUGUAAGGCCUUUGGGGGUACACGAGCGGCGAACGGGUGGGUAACACGUGGGUGAUCUGCCCUGCACUUCGGAAAAAGCUUGGGAAACUGGGCCUAUUACCGGUUAUGUCCUCCUAUCUCAUGAUGGGUGGAGGAAAAGUUUAUUGGUUCGGGAUGGGCCCGCGCCCUACCAGCUUGUUGGUGGGGUAAUGGCCUACCAAGGCGACGACGGAUAGCCGACCUGAGAGGGUGACCGGCCACACUGGGACUGAGACACGGCCCAGCCUCCUCCGGGCGGCAGCAGUGGGAAAUAGUGCAAAAUGGGCGCAAGCCUCAUGCAGCGACGCCGCGAGAGGGAUGACGGCCUUCGGGUUGUAGACCUCUUUCAGCCGGGACGAAGCGCAAGUGACGGUACCUGCAGAAGAAGCACCGGCUAACUACGUG